GGUCAAGUUAUUAAGGGUGCAGGGCGGAUGCCUUGGCACUAGGAGCCGAUGAAGGACGUGAUAAGCUGCGAUAAGCUUCGGGGAGUUGCACGUAAACUUUGAUCCGAAGAUUUCCGAAUGAGGAAACUCACUUAGAGUAAUGUCUAAGUAUCAUUAAGUGAAUACAUAGCUUAAUGAGGGGAACUCAGGGAACUGAAACAUCUAAGUACCUGAAGGAAGAGAAAGAAAUUCGAUUCCGUAAGUAGCGGCGAGCGAACGCGGAUUAGCCCAAACCAAUAAAGUUUUCUUUGUUGGGGUUGCGGACAUAUCAUAACGAAGAGGUAUCGUAAUUGAAGAGGUUUGGAAAGACCCACCACAGAAGGUAAUAGUCCUGUAUGUUAAACGAGAAGACUUCAGAUAUGAUCCAGAGUACCACGGGACACGUGAAACCCUGUGGGAAGCAGGAGGGACCACCCUCCAAGGCUAAAUACUACCUAGUGACCGAUAGCGUAUAGUACCGUGAGGGAAAGGUGAAAAGAACCCCGGGAGGGGAGUGAAAUAGAACCUGAAACCCUGCACUUACAAGCUGUGGAAGCACAUUUCUUGUGUGACCGCGUACUUUUUGUAGAACGGGCCAACGAGUUACGUUAAGUAGCAAGGUUAAGCACUUAAGGUGCGGAGCCGUAGCGAAAGCGAGUUUUAACUGAGCGUUCAGUUACUUGACGUAGACCCGAAACCGGGCGACCUACCCAUGAGCAGGAUGAAGCGAAAGUAAAAUUUCGUGGAGGUCCGAACCCACGAGCGUUGAAAAGCUCGGGGAUGACUUGUGGGUAGCGGUGAAAUUCCAAUCGAGCCCGGAGAUAGCUGGUUCUCCCCGAAAUAGCUUUAGGGCUAGCCUCAAGGUGAGAGAUACGGAGGUAGAGCACUGAAUGUCCUAGGGGGUAUUGCACCUACCGAAGACUAUCAAACUCCGAAUGCCGUCAUCUUAUACUUGGGAGUCAGACUGUGGGUGAUAAGAUUCAUAGUCGAAAGGGCAACAGCCCAGAUCGUCAGCUAAGGUCCCUAAAUGUAAGUUAAGUGGUAAAGGAUGUGGGAUUGCACAGACAACCAGGAUGUUGGCUUAGAAGCAGCCACUCAUUCAAAGAGUGCGUAAUAGCUCACUGGUCGAGUGAUCCUGCGCCGAAGAUUUCCGGGGCUAAAACUUACUACCGAAGCUACGGCAUCAGUAAUGAUGGGUAGGGGAGCUUCCCAUACGGGUUGAAGCAUGACCGUAAGGACAUGUGGACAGUAUGGGAGUGAGAAUGUUGGCAUGAGUAGCGAGAUGUGGGUGAGAAUCCCACAGGCCGUAAACCCAAGGUUUCCAGGGGAAGGUUCGUCCGCCCUGGGUUAGUCGGGACCUAAGCUGAGGCCGAAAGGCGUAGGUGAUGGACAACAGGUUGAUAUUCCUGUACUACCGAUAACCGUUUGAGAGAAGGGAUGACACAGUAGGAUAAGCUAAGCACACUGUUGGUUAUGUGUGCCCAAGCAUUGAGGCAGUCAAAGUAGGCAAAUCCGCUUUGAUAAUGCUGGGAUGUGAUGGGGAGCGAAAUUUAGUAGCGAAGUAGCUGAUUUCACACUGUCAAGAAAAGUCUCUAUCGAGGUUAAAGGUACCCGUACCGCAAACCGACACAGGUGGGUGAGGAGAGUAUCCUAAGGCCAGCGAGAGAACUGUUGUUAAGGAACUCGGCAAAAUGACCCCGUAACUUAGGGAUAAGGGGUGCCACCAUCAGGUGGCCGCAGAGAAUAGGCCCAAGCGACUGUUUACCAAAAACAUAGGUUUCUGCUAAGUCGCAAGACGAUGUAUAGGAGCUGACGCCUGCCCGGUGCUGGAAGGUUAAGGGGAUCUGUUAGAGCAAUCGAAGCAGUGAACUUAAGCCCCAGUAAACGGCGGCCGUAACUAUAACGGUCCUAAGGUAGCGAAAUUCCUUGUCGGGUAAGUUCCGACCCGCACGAAAGGCGUAACGAUUUGGGCACUGUCUCAACAACAGACUCGGUGAAAUUGUAAUUCCGGUGAAGAUGCCGGAUACCUGCGACAGGACGGAAAGACCCCAUGGAGCUUUACUGUAGCUUGACAUUGGGUCUUGGUACUACAUGUACAGGAUAGGUGGGAGGCUUUGAAACCAGGACGCCAGUUUUGGCGGAGCCAUCCUUGGGAUACCACCCUUGUAGUACUGGGACUCUAACCAUAGGCCAUGAAUCUGGUCUUGGGACACUGUCAGGUGGGCAGUUUGACUGGGGCGGUCGCCUCCCAAAAGGUAACGGAGGCGCUCAAAGGUUCUCUCAGUACGGUCGGAAAUCGUACGUAGAGUGUAAAGGCAAAAGAGAGCUUGAUUGCAAGACAUACAGGUCGAGCAAGGAUGAAAAUCGGACUUAGUGAUCCGGUGGUUCUGCGUGGAAGGGCCAUCGCUCAACGGAUAAAAGCUACCCUGGGGAUAACAGGCUUAUCUCCCCCAAGAGUCCACAUCGACGGGGAGGUUUGGCACCUCGAUGUCGGCUCAUCACAUCCUGGGGCUGUAGUAGGUCCCAAGGGUUGGGCUGUUCGCCCAUUAAAGUGGUACGCGAGCUGGGUUCAGAACGUCGUGAGACAGUUCGGUCCCUAUCCGUCGCAGGCGUAGGAAAUUUGAGAAGACCUGUCCUUAGUACGAGAGGACCGGGAUGGACGUACCUCUGGUGUACCAGUUGUUCUGCCAAGGGCAUGGCUGGGUAGCUAUGUGCGGAAUGGAUAAGCGCUGAAAGCAUCUAAGCGCGAAGCCAACUUCAAGAUAAGAUUUCCCACCGCAAGGGUAAGACCCCAGAAAGACUAUCUGGUUGAUAGGUCGAAGGUGUAAGUGCAGCAAUGUAUUUAGCUUAUCGAUACUAAUAGGUCGAGGACUUGACCAA
This 2898-nucleotide ribosomal RNA is filed under the name Clostridioides difficile. RNAcentral describes it as "23S ribosomal RNA". It matches the Rfam family "Bacterial large subunit ribosomal RNA". The record is from RNAcentral. Lineage: Bacteria; Bacillati; Bacillota; Clostridia; Peptostreptococcales; Peptostreptococcaceae.